UAUGCUUACCCCUAAACUCAGAUAAUAAUAUUACUAACAUUAUCCGCCCGGGAACUACGAGCACUAGCUUAAAACCCAAAGGACUUGGCGGUGCUUAACACCCCCCUAGAGGAGCCUGUUCUAGAACCGAUACCCCUCGUUAAACCUCACCCCUUCUUGUCUAAUCCGCCUAUAUACCGCCGUCGUCAGCUUACCCCGUGAGGGACCUAUAGUAAGCCCAAUUAGUUUUAACCCAAAACGUCAGGUCGAGGUGUAGCAAAUGAAGGGGGAAGAAAUGGGCUACAUUUCCUGCAAUCAGGAUAAACGGAGAAUGUUUUGAAAGAAGCAUUAUGAAGGAGGAUUUAGUAGUAAGAAGGGAAUAGAGAGCCCAUCUGAAACCGGCCCUUAAGCGCGCA
Molecule: ribosomal RNA, 395 nt
Filed under: Scartella caboverdiana
Lineage: Eukaryota; Metazoa; Chordata; Actinopteri; Blenniiformes; Blenniidae
Description: partial 12S ribosomal RNA
Rfam family: Bacterial small subunit ribosomal RNA
Source: RNAcentral